This 501-nucleotide ribosomal RNA is filed under the name uncultured bacterium. RNAcentral describes it as "partial 16S ribosomal RNA". It matches the Rfam family "Bacterial small subunit ribosomal RNA", at positions 30 to 523 of the family's 1533-position model. The record is from RNAcentral.
AUUGAACGCCGGCGGCAGGCUUAACACAUGCAAGUCGAGCGGGGGAAGGUAGCUUGCUACUGGACCUAGCGGCGGACGGGUGAGUAAUGCUUAGGAAUCUGCCUAUUAGUGGGGGACAACAUCUCGAAAGGGAUGCUAAUACCGCAUACGUCCUACGGGAGAAAGCAGGGGAUCUUCGGACCUUGCGCUAAUAGAUGAGCCUAAGUCGGAUUAGCUAGUUGGUGGGGUAAAGGCCUACCAAGGCGACGAUCUGUAGCGGGUCUGAGAGGAUGAUCUGCCACACUGGGGCGGAGAGACGGCCCAGACUCCUACGGGAGGAGGCAGUGGGGAAUAUUGGACAAUGGGGGGAACCCUGAUCCAGCCAUGCCGCGUGUGUGAAGAGGGCCUUAUGGUUGUAAAGCACUUUAAGCGAGGAGGAGGCUACUCUAGUUAAUACCUAGGGAUAGUGGACGUUACUCGCAGAAUAAGCACCGGCUAACUCUGUGCCAGCAGCCGCCGUAA